UGCCCUGAGAGAGGAUGCAGUUAUAAAAGUUUACUUUUUGUCAGUAAGAAGUACAGCAGAUUAAUCGGGGAAAUGUAGGUGGACAGCAUGUGAGUGCGUGAACAAAGUAUUACCAUUGCAGAUGGAACACUCUAUCUCAAAAAUCGAUCUUAUUUUCUUUUAGAGAACAGCGGUGGACCUGCAUAUGACCAGCUUAGUGACUUACUGUUGAUCCUGCCUUGGCACUUGCAUUGGAUUAUCACCUAUAUUAACAUUAUUAGCAUUGAAAUGUCUGGAAAAAGUGGCCGUGGUGUUUUGUGGAAGAAGAAAGAUAUUUUAGAUCUGUUGGAAAUUUGGGGAGACCUGAAUAUACAAGAAGAACUUAGGAGCAGUCACCGGAAUAUUGAGACCUAUGAAGAUAUUGCCCGGCAGAUGGCUGCCCGGGGUCACCAGCGCACAGCUGUUCAAUGUCGGUACAAAACAAAUGCAUUGCGACUAGAAUACAAAAAGGUGAUGGAACAUAAUUCCAGGUUAGGGCCUGGUAUUGUAACAUGUCCCUUUUAUAAGGAGCUGCAUCACAUCCUUAUGGGGGAUGCCAGUGUGAAACCAAAGCGUAUUUCUCGAAAGCAUGGUUCCAAGCAUGGCGUCAAGAGUGCGCAUCAGGAAGCAGCAUACAGGGAAGGAAUGUUCAAUGAUGCAUUUGGUAUCCUCUGUUCUGACAGAUGCCUCAUCCCAGAGAACACUGGAGGGAAAAUGGCAACAAGUGAGGAAGAGGGAGAACAUGGAGAUCACAGAUACGGACCAAGAAGGAAGCACAGGAUUCAACCUCAGCCUACUGGGUUCUGACGGCUACCCAUCUGAACCAUCUUCAGUGUCAUCGGUGCAGCCUUAUAAUUAUGAGUGAUCUGCUGACCAAUGUUCCUAUCUAUGAGAGAAAAAAGAAUUCCGCCCAGUUCUUGAGAAUGACCUGAAAACAAUGUUACACCAGUUGGUAGUCUUCAUGUUGGACUACUGUAAUGCACUCUGUGCUGGGCUGCCAAUACAUUUCUGGAGAGGUCAGUCUCCAGUUAGCACUGUAUGUCUGGUGGUGAUUUGGAACCAGACCUUUUCUGUAGCUGCUCCUGGCCUAUGGAAUGCACUCCCAACAGAUAUCCGCAAUUUAGGCUUGCUGUCGGUCUUUAAGAGAGCCAUAAAAACUUACUUGUUUGGCCUGGCCUUCCAAGGUUUGUAAAUUGUUUUUUAAAGUAUUUUAAUUAGUUUUAAACUAGCUGAACGGGCACAGAGCAUAUGCGCCCCUAGUUACCACCUCGUCCUGCCGGCCACUUCCUCAGGCCAGCAUGGCUUCGCCUGCCGCCCGCCUCCUCACACCGAUGGGGCUUUGCUCGCCGGCCGGCCGCCUCCUCACGCCAGCUUCACCUGCCGGCCGGCUGCCUCCCAACGCCUCCUCAGCAUCCAGGCUCCACCACCCGCCCAAAGCCUGGAACUCUCACAAGUGGUGCCGCCACUCCCGUGAGAGUUCCAGCAAGCAUCCCCAACGGCACGUCUAUAUUAACUAUAUAGAUGUUUUUUAAUUGUUUUUAUAUUGUUUUUAGCACUGUGUUUGAAAUGGUGUGUGUUUUUAUGUCUUUUUAAAUUUGUUGUACACCACCCAGAACCUUUGAUGGCGCGGUUUAUAAAUGUAAUAAAUAAAUAAAUACAUA
Hemicordylus capensis (graceful crag lizard) is the source of this 1679-nucleotide long non-coding RNA. RefSeq lists it as uncharacterized. The transcript is spliced from 4 exons. NCBI's taxonomy places the organism in Eukaryota, Metazoa, Chordata, Lepidosauria, Squamata, Cordylidae. The record is from RefSeq and is a predicted model, not a curated record.